RNAcentral lists this transfer RNA (97 nucleotides) under Armillaria solidipes. RNAcentral's name for it is "tRNA-Val". The record is from RNAcentral. Lineage: Eukaryota; Fungi; Basidiomycota; Agaricomycetes; Agaricales; Physalacriaceae.
GGGUCGGUGGCGUAGCUGGUUAUCGUAUCUGUCUAACAUGUGAAAUAGAUUGUAACAGUUGCACAGAAGGUCCUCAGUUCGAACCUGGGCCGACUCA